UACGGAGGGUGCAAGCGUUAUCCGGAUUCACUGGGUUUAAAGGGUGCGUAGGCGGGCAGGUAAGUCAGUGGUGAAAUCUUCGAGCUUAACUCGGAAACUGCCUUUGAUACUAUCUGUCUUGAAUAUGGUGGAGGUAAGCGGAAUAUGUCAUGUAGCGGUGAAAUGCUUAGAUAUGACAUAGAACACCUAUUGCGAAGGCAGCUUACUACGCCUAUAUUGACGCUGAGGCACGAAAGCGUGGGGAUCAAACAGG
RNAcentral lists this ribosomal RNA (253 nucleotides) under uncultured bacterium. RNAcentral's name for it is "partial 16S ribosomal RNA". It matches the Rfam family "Bacterial small subunit ribosomal RNA", at positions 524 to 776 of the family's 1533-position model. The record is from RNAcentral.